This 84-nucleotide transfer RNA is filed under the name Clostridiales bacterium. Its description in RNAcentral is "tRNA-Leu". It matches the Rfam family "tRNA". From Rfam's summary of the family: Transfer RNA (tRNA) molecules are approximately 80 nucleotides in length. Their secondary structure includes four short double-helical elements and three loops (D, anti-codon, and T loops). Further hydrogen bonds mediate the characteristic L-shaped molecular structure. tRNAs have two regions of fundamental functional importance: the anti-codon, which is responsible for specific mRNA codon recognition, and the 3' end, to which the tRNAs corresponding amino acid is attached (by aminoacyl-tRNA synthetases). tRNAs cope with the degeneracy of the genetic code in two manners: having more than one tRNA (with a specific anti-codon) for a particular amino acid; and 'wobble' base-pairing, i.e. permitting non-standard base-pairing at the 3rd anti-codon position. RNAcentral also lists the same sequence under 1 other name. The record is from RNAcentral. Lineage: Bacteria; Bacillati; Bacillota; Clostridia; Eubacteriales.
GCGGACAUGGCGGAAUUGGCAGACGCACUGGAUUUAGGUUCCAGCGGUUUCACCGUGGGGGUUCAAGUCCCCCUGUCCGCACCA